Molecule: ribosomal RNA, 448 nt
Filed under: uncultured bacterium
Lineage: Bacteria
Description: bacterial SSU rRNA
Rfam family: Bacterial small subunit ribosomal RNA
Source: RNAcentral
GGCCAGACUCCUACGGGAGGCAGCAGUCGGGAAUAUUGCGCAAUGGAGGAAACUCUGACGCAGUGACGCCGCGUAUAGGAAGAAGGUUUUCGGAUUGUAAACUAUUGUCGUGAGGGAAGAAAUUGACAGUACCUCAGGAGGAAGCUCCGGCUAACUAUGUGCCAGCAGCCGCGGUAAUACGUAGGGGGCAAGCGUUAUCCGGAUUUACUGGGUGUAAAGGGAGCGUAGACGGAAAGGCAAGUCAGAAGUGAAAACCCAAGGCUCAACCAUGGGACUGCUUUUGAAACUGUCAAACUAGAGUACGGGAGAGGUAAGAGGAAUUCCUAGUGUAGCGGUGAAAUGCGUAGAUAUUAGGAGGAACACCAGUGGCGAAGGCGUCUUACUGGACCGAAACUGACGUUGAGGCUCGAAAGCGUGGGGAGCAAACAGGAGUAGAUACCCUAGUAGU